GAUGAACGCUGGCGGCGUGCCUAAUACAUGCAAGUCGAGCGAACGGACGAGAAGCUUGCUUCUCUGAUGUUAGCGGCGGACGGGUGAGUAACACGUGGAUAACCUACCUAUAAGACUGGGAUAACUUCGGGAAACCGGAGCUAAUACCGGAUAAUAUUUUGAACCGCAUUGUUCAAAAGUGAAAGACGGUCUUGCUGUCACUUAUAGAUGGAUCCGCGCUGCAUUAGAUAGUUGGUAAGGUAACGGCUUACCAAGGCAACGAUGCAUAGCCGACCUGAGAGGGUGAUCGGCCACACUGGAACUGAGACACGGUCCAGACUCCUACGGGAGGCAGCAGUAGGGAAUCUUACGCAAUGGGCGAAAGCCUGACGGAGCAACGCCGCGUGAGUGAUGAAGGUCUUCGGAUCGUAAAACUCUGUUAUUAGGGAAGAACAUAUGUGUAAGUAACUGUGCACAUCUUGACGGUACCUAAUCAGAAAGCCACGGCUAACUACGUG
This 497-nucleotide ribosomal RNA is filed under the name uncultured bacterium. RNAcentral's name for it is "partial 16S ribosomal RNA". It matches the Rfam family "Bacterial small subunit ribosomal RNA", at positions 28 to 507 of the family's 1533-position model. The record is from RNAcentral.